AAGGUGAACUAAUUAAAGCGCGAGCUGGGAGAAAGCAGUAUUCACAUCACAGCAAAGGCCAGCUACACAGUCAAAUCCAGAUACGUUUUAUGCAACGAGAUUCAAAAUGGUUCUGCUAGUUCUGAUGCAGCUCCUGCUCAUUGCAUCAGCAAAUGCUCAGACAACUACAGCAGCUACGACCACCGUAGCCACCACAGCCGCAGCUACGACUGCAAUAGCCACGACGGCCGCAACCACCGCAACCACCGCAGCCACUGCAACCACCACAGCCACCGCCACGACUGCCGCAGCCACGACCGCAGUAGCCACGACCACAGUAGCCACGACCGCAGUAGCCACGACCGCUGCAGCCACGACCGCUGCAGCCACGACCGCAGUAGCCACGACCGCUGCAGCCACGACCGCUGCAGCCACGACCGCUGCAGCCACGACCGCAGUAGCCACGACCGCUGCAGCCACGACCGC
Molecule: long non-coding RNA, 465 nt
Organism: Perca fluviatilis (European perch)
Lineage: Eukaryota; Metazoa; Chordata; Actinopteri; Perciformes; Percidae
Exons: 3
Source: RefSeq, a predicted model, not a curated record